AGCGAAAUUCCUUGUCGGGUAAGUUCCGACCCGCACGAAAGGCGUAACGAUUUGGGCACUGUCUCAACGAGAGACUCGGUGAAAUCAUAGUACCUGUGAAGAUGCAGGUUACCCGCGACAGGACGGAAAGACCCCGUGGAGCUUUACUGUAGCCUGAUAUUGAAAUUCGGCACAGCUUGUACAGGAUAGGUAGGAGCCUUUGAAACGUGAGCGCUAGCUUACGUGGAGGCGCUGGUGGGAUACUACCCUAGCUGUGUUGGCUUUCUAACCCGCACCACUUAUCGUGGUGGGAGACAGUGUCAGGCGGGCAGUUUGACUGGGGCGGUCGCCUCCUAAAAGGUAACGGAGGCGCUCAAAGGUUCCCUCAGAAUGGUUGGAAAUCAUUCAUAGAGUGUAAAGGCAUAAGGGAGCUUGACUGCGAGACCUACAAGUCGAGCAGGGUCGAAAGACGGACUUAGUGAUCCGGUGGUUCCGCAUGGAAGGGCCAUCGCUCAACGGAUAAAAGCUACCCCGGGGAUAACAGGCUUAUCUCCCCCAAGAGUUCACAUCGACGGGGAGGUUUGGCACCUCGAUGUCGGCUCAUCGCAUCCUGGGGCUGUAGUCGGUCCCAAGGGUUGGGCUGUUCGCCCAUUAAAGCGGUACGCGAGCUGGGUUCAGAACGUCGUGAGACAGUUCGGUCCCUAUCCGUCGUGGGCGUAGGAAAUUUGAGAGGAGCUGUCCUUAGUACGAGAGGACCGGGAUGGACAUACCUCUGGUGUACCAGUUGUCGUGCCAACGGCAUAGCUGGGUAGCUAUGUGUGGACGGGAUAAGUGCUGAAAGCAUCUAAGCAUGAAGCCCCCCUCAAGAUGAGAUUUCCCAACUUCGGUUAUAAGAUCCCUCAAAGAUGAUGAGGUUAAUAGGUUCGAGGUGGAAGCAUGGUGACAUGUGGAGCUGACGAAUACUAAUCGAUCGAAGACUUAAUCAA
Molecule: ribosomal RNA, 965 nt
Filed under: Staphylococcus aureus subsp. aureus MRSA131
Lineage: Bacteria; Bacillati; Bacillota; Bacilli; Caryophanales; Staphylococcaceae
Description: bacterial LSU rRNA
Rfam family: Bacterial large subunit ribosomal RNA
Source: RNAcentral